Molecule: ribosomal RNA, 503 nt
Filed under: uncultured bacterium
Lineage: Bacteria
Description: partial 16S ribosomal RNA
Rfam family: Bacterial small subunit ribosomal RNA
Source: RNAcentral
AUUGAACGCUGGCGGCAGGCUUAACACAUGCAAGUCGAGCGGGGUGAUGGUGCUUGCACUAUCACUUAGCGGCGGACGGGUGAGUAAUGCUUAGGAAUCUGCCUAUUAGUGGGGGACAACAUCUCGAAAGGGAUGCUAAUACCGCAUACGUCCUACGGGAGAAAGCAGGGGAUCACUUGUGACCUUGCGCUAAUAGAUGAGCCUAAGUCGGAUUAGCUAGUUGGUGGGGUAAAGACCUACCAAGACGACGAUCUGUAGCGGGGCUGAGAGGAUGAUCCGCCACACUGGGACUGAGACACGGCCCAGACUCCUACGGGAGGCAGCAGUGGGGAAUAUUGGACAAUGGGGGGAACCCUGAUCCAGCCAUGCCGCGUGUGUGAAGAAGGCCUUAUGGUUGUAAAGCACUUUAAGCGAGGAGGAGGCUCUUUUGGUUAAUACCCAAGAUGAGUGGACGUUACUCGCAGAAUAAGCACCGGCUAACUCUGUGCCAGCAGCCGCGGUAA